Molecule: ribosomal RNA, 253 nt
Filed under: uncultured bacterium
Lineage: Bacteria
Description: partial 16S ribosomal RNA
Rfam family: Bacterial small subunit ribosomal RNA
Source: RNAcentral
UACGUAGGUGGCAAGCGUUGUCCGGAUUUAUUGGGUUUAAAGGGUGCGUAGGCGGCUUUGUAAGUCAGUGGUGAAAUAUUGCAGCUUAACUGUCAAGGUGCCAUUGAUACUGCGGAGCUUGAGUACAGAUGAGGUAGGCGGAAUUGACGGUGUAGCGGUGAAAUGCUUAGAUAUCGUCAAGAACACCUAUAGCGAAGGCAGCUUACUAGGCUGUAACUGACGCUGAGGCACGAAAGUGUGGGGAGCAAACAGG